Molecule: ribosomal RNA, 376 nt
Filed under: uncultured bacterium
Lineage: Bacteria
Description: bacterial SSU rRNA
Rfam family: Bacterial small subunit ribosomal RNA
Source: RNAcentral
GACGAACGCUGGCGGCGUGCUUAACACAUGCAAGUCGAGCGGUAAGGCCCUUUCGGGGGUACACGAGCGGCGAACGGGUGAGUAACACGUGGGUGACCUGCCUUUAGCUCUGGGAUAAGCCUGGGAAACUGGGUCUAAUACCGGAUAUGACUCCGCGGUGCAUGCUGUGGGGUGGAAAGCCUUGUGCGGCUGGAGAUGGGCCCGCGGCCUAUCAGCUUGUUGGUGGGGUGAUGGCCUACCAAGGCGACGACGGGUAGCCGGCCUGAGAGGGCGACCGGCCACACUGGGACUGAGACACGGCCCAGACUCCUACGGGAGGCAGCAGUGGGGAAUCUUGCGCAAUGGCCUAGCGGCUGACGCAGCGACGCCGCGUGGA